CCCUACGGGGCGCAGCAGGCGCGAAAACUUUACAAUGCGGGAAACCGUGAUAAGGGAACUCCGAGUGCCCGUAAAAUCGGGCUGUCCAUCUGUGUAAAUAACAGGUGAAGAAAGGGCCGGGCAAGACCGGUGCCAGCCGCCGCGGUAAUACCGGCGGCUCGAGUGGUGGCCACUAUUACUGGGCUUAAAGCGUUCGUAGCUGGUCUGUUAAGUCUCUGGGGAAAUCUACUGGCUUAACCAAUAGGCGUNUCAGGGAUACUGGCAGACUAGGGACCGGGAGAGGUGAGAGGUACUCCAGGGGUAGGAGUGAAAUCCNGUAAUCC
Molecule: ribosomal RNA, 323 nt
Filed under: uncultured archaeon
Lineage: Archaea
Description: bacterial SSU rRNA
Rfam family: Archaeal small subunit ribosomal RNA
Source: RNAcentral